Jatropha curcas is the source of this 525-nucleotide non-coding RNA. The record is from RefSeq and is a predicted model, not a curated record. Lineage: Eukaryota; Viridiplantae; Streptophyta; Magnoliopsida; Malpighiales; Euphorbiaceae.
AAAUUCAUAGCAAGUGACUUUGUUUGAUGAAUUCACGUCAACUCCAAUCAUGCUCUCGAAAUAAUCUUGAAAAUGAUCAUUUAAUAUGUGAUUUGGAGGCAUCAGAUCAACUUUUCUGUAGCCAUCAAAAUUGUUCAAUAUACAGCUCACGGUUAUUUUAAUCGGUUAGAUUGGAUCCUUCUAGGCCACUGAGCAAACGAAAGCAUUGGGUCGUUGCUGAAAUUCUGAAAAAAGCACGAAUUUUUGUGCCUCCAUCUGUUGAUAAUGCUACUAGUUCAAAGUAACAGAUUCUUCAACCUCUUAAGGUUUGGUCGGAUUCAGUACGCAUUCUUGAUUUUUUAUUUUCUUUUUGUUUUAUCAUUUUGGAAAGGUUGAUGUUUCCUAAGGAGCAUAAUAAAUUGUGCACUGUUAUUUGCAUAAUCUAUAAGAUCAAAGGAUUCAAAAACUUGCUGUUAGUUUCUGACAUGUAAAAUAUAGAAUUCUUAUUUACAGGAGUUACUCAAUGUGAAUGCUAAAUUGCUUUUU